This 468-nucleotide ribosomal RNA is filed under the name uncultured bacterium. Its description in RNAcentral is "partial 16S ribosomal RNA". It matches the Rfam family "Bacterial small subunit ribosomal RNA", at positions 28 to 507 of the family's 1533-position model. The record is from RNAcentral.
GACGAACGCUGGCGGCGUGCUUAACACAUGCAAGUCGAACGGAAAGGCCCUGCUUUUGUGGGGUGCUCGAGUGGCGAACGGGUGAGUAACACGUGAGUAACCUGCCCUUGACUUUGGGAUAACUUCAGGAAACUGGGGCUAAUACCGGAUAGGAGCUCCUGCUGCAUGGUGGGGGUUGGAACGUUUCGGCGGUUGGGGAUGGACUCGCGGCUUAUCAGCUUGUUGGUGGGGUAGUGGCUUACCAAGGCUUUGACGGAUAGCCGGCCUGAGAGGGUGACCGGCCACAAUGGGACUGAGGUACGGCGCAGACUCCUACGGGAGGCAGCAGUGGGGAAUAUUGCACAGUGGGGGGAAGCCUGAUGAAGCAACGCCGCGUGCGGGAUGACGGCCUUCGGGUUGUAAACCGCAUUCGCCUGUGACGAAGCGUGAGUGACGGUAAUGGGUAAAGAAGCACCGGCUAACUACGUG